RNAcentral lists this ribosomal RNA (475 nucleotides) under Marinobacter sp. R-39065. Its description in RNAcentral is "bacterial SSU rRNA". It matches the Rfam family "Bacterial small subunit ribosomal RNA", at positions 19 to 486 of the family's 1533-position model. The record is from RNAcentral. Lineage: Bacteria; Pseudomonadati; Pseudomonadota; Gammaproteobacteria; Pseudomonadales; Marinobacteraceae.
CUGGCUCAGAUUGAACGCUGGCGGCAGGCUUAACACAUGCAAGUCGAGCGGUAACAGGGGGAGCUUGCUCCCCGCUGACGAGCGGCGGACGGGUGAGUAAUACAUAGGAAUCUGCCCAGUAGUGGGGGAUAGCCCGGGGAAACUCGGAUUAAUACCGCAUACGCCCUACGGGGGAAAGCAGGGGAUCUUCGGACCUUGCGCUAUUGGAUGAGCCUAUGUCGGAUUAGCUAGUUGGUGGGGUAAAGGCUCACCAAGGCGACGAUCCGUAGCUGGUCUGAGAGGAUGAUCAGCCACAUCGGGACUGAGACACGGCCCGAACUCCUACGGGAGGCAGCAGUGGGGAAUAUUGGACAAUGGGGGCAACCCUGAUCCAGCCAUGCCGCGUGUGUGAAGAAGGCUUUCGGGUUGUAAAGCACUUUCAGCGAGGAGGAAAAGUUGGUCGUUAAUAGCGGCCAGCCGUGACGUACUCGCAGAA